UGACGUCAAAUCAUCAUGCCCCUUAUGACCUGGGCUACACACGUGCUACAAUGGACGGUACAACGAGUUGCGAAGUCGUGAGGCCAAGCUAAUCUCUUAAAGCCGUUCUCAGUUCGGAUUGUAGGCUGCAACUCGCCUACAUGAAGUUGGAAUCGCUAGUAAUCGCGGAUCAGCAUGC
RNAcentral lists this ribosomal RNA (178 nucleotides) under uncultured Lactobacillus sp. RNAcentral describes it as "partial 16S ribosomal RNA". It matches the Rfam family "Bacterial small subunit ribosomal RNA", at positions 1180 to 1357 of the family's 1533-position model. The record is from RNAcentral. Lineage: Bacteria; Bacillati; Bacillota; Bacilli; Lactobacillales; Lactobacillaceae.